UCGGAUUAGCUAGUUGGUGAGGUAAUGGCUCACCAAGGCGACGAUCCGUAACUGGUCUGAGAGGAUGAUCAGUCACACUGGAACUGAGACACGGUCCAGACUCCUACGGGAGGCAGCAGUGGGGAAUAUUGGACAAUGGGCGAAAGCCUGAUCCAGCCAUGCCGCGUGUGUGAAGAAGGUCUUCGGAUUGUAAAGCACUUUAAGUUGGGAGGAAGGGUUGUAGAUUAAUACUCUGCAAUUUUGACGUUACCGACAGAAUAAGCACCGGCUAACUCUGUGCCAGCAGCCGCGGUAAUACAGAGGGUGCAAGCGUUAAUCGGAAUUACUGGGCGUAAAGCGCGCGUAGGUGGUUUGUUAAGUUGGAUGUGAAAUCCCCGGGCUCAACCUGGGAACUGCAUCCAAAACUGGCAAGCUA
This 415-nucleotide ribosomal RNA is filed under the name Pseudomonas sp. H4-11-l. RNAcentral's name for it is "bacterial SSU rRNA". It matches the Rfam family "Bacterial small subunit ribosomal RNA", at positions 236 to 643 of the family's 1533-position model. The record is from RNAcentral. Lineage: Bacteria; Pseudomonadati; Pseudomonadota; Gammaproteobacteria; Pseudomonadales; Pseudomonadaceae.